CUAGGCUACAGAGCGUGCACAUCAUUGGCCGGACUAGUGCGCUCUGCAGCUCACAAACAGUGAUUUUAUGAAAACUAAAGCAAGAAACAAAGUGAGUGACAUAGCGUUCCAAUAAGGCACUCUGGCCCUCAGAUAGGAUCAGCCGAGAGCAUUCCCACCAUAAAUGUAAAUAUGUGGUAAUAUAGAAAAAAAGGGAAGACCGCAAGCGGCGCCUCGUGUAUUACCCUUAGAGAAUAAUGCAUAUCACCUCACAAAGAGGUAUAAUGGAGGAGCAAGCUGCUCAGCCGGAGGGUCCGCAGGGAUCAGGAAUUCCUGUCCUGUUGAAGCAUGCAGAGAAGUGGAGAAAAAGGACCAACGAUUUCCA
Hyla sarda is the source of this 364-nucleotide long non-coding RNA. RefSeq lists it as uncharacterized. NCBI's taxonomy places the organism in Eukaryota, Metazoa, Chordata, Amphibia, Anura, Hylidae. The transcript has 3 exons. The record is from RefSeq and is a predicted model, not a curated record.